Molecule: ribosomal RNA, 456 nt
Filed under: uncultured Enterobacteriaceae bacterium
Lineage: Bacteria; Pseudomonadati; Pseudomonadota; Gammaproteobacteria; Enterobacterales; Enterobacteriaceae
Description: bacterial SSU rRNA
Rfam family: Bacterial small subunit ribosomal RNA
Source: RNAcentral
ACAAGCGGUGGAGCAUGUGGUUUAAUUCGAUGCAACGCGAAGAACCUUUACCUGGUCUUGACAUCCACGGAAGUUUUCAGAGAUGAGAAUGUGCCUUCGGGAACCGUGAGACAGGUGCUGCAUGGCUGUCGUCAGCUCGUGUUGUGAAAUGUUGGGUUAAGUCCCGCAACGAGCGCAACCCUUAUCCUUUGUUGCCAGCGGUCCGCCGGGAACUCAAAGGAGACUGCCAGUGAUAAACUGGAGGAAGGUGGGAUGACGUCAAGUCAUCAUGGCCCUUACGACCAGGGCUACACACGUGCUACAAUGGCGCAUACAAAGAGAAGCGACCUCGCGAGAGCAAGCGGACCUCAUAAAGUGCGUCGUAGUCCGGAUUGGAGUCUGCAACUCGACUCCAUGAAGUCGGAAUCGCUAGUAAUCGUGGAUCAGAAUGCCACGGUGAAUACGUUCCCGGGCCUU